RNAcentral lists this unclassified non-coding RNA (304 nucleotides) under uncultured Tricholoma. RNAcentral describes it as "partial contains 5.8S ribosomal RNA, internal transcribed spacer 2, and large subunit ribosomal RNA". Lineage: Eukaryota; Fungi; Basidiomycota; Agaricomycetes; Agaricales; Tricholomataceae. The record is from RNAcentral.
AACGCAUCUUGCACUCUUGGGUUAUUCCUGAGAGUAUGCUUGUUUGAGUGUCACUUAACUCUCAACCCCGCCUUGCUUUAUUGUGAGGUAGUUUGGGCUUGGAUCAUGAUGCUUGUCUCGUUUUUGAAACAAGACUGCAUUGAAAGACAACAAGCUGAAUCAACAAACUUGCGGCUUGACCUAUUGUUGUAGUAAAAUUAAUUUCAAUAGGAACGCAUUAAAGUUGAACGAGCUUCUCUUUAAGAGAAACACAAAUUUAAUUUAAUUUGACCUCAAAUCAAGUAGGACUACCCGCUGAACUUAA